CCUACGGGAGGCAGCAGUGAGGAAUAUUGGUCAAUGGGCGUGAGCCUGAACCAGCCAAGUAGCGUGAGGGAUGACUGCCCUAUGGGUUGUAAACCUCUUUUAUCCGGGGGUAAAGUUGUCCACGUGUGCAUGUUUGCAUGUACCUCAUGAAUAAGGAUCGGCUAAAUCCGUGCCAGCAGCCGCGGUAAUACGGAGGGUGCGGGCGUUAUCCGGAUUUAUUGGGUUUAAAGGGAGCGUAGGCGGGACUCUAAGUUAGCCGGGAAAUGUUGUGGCUCAACCCUGGUAGUGCGGUGGAAACUGGGGACCUUGAGUGCGCGGAAGGUAGGCGGAAUUCGUGGUGUAGCGGUGAAAUGCAUAGAUAUCACGAAGAACCCCGAUUGCGAAGGCAGCGUGCCGGAGCGUAACUGACGCUGAAGCUCGAAAGCGUGGGUAGCGAACAGGAUUAGAUACCCGGGUAGUC
This 460-nucleotide ribosomal RNA is filed under the name uncultured bacterium. Its description in RNAcentral is "partial 16S ribosomal RNA". It matches the Rfam family "Bacterial small subunit ribosomal RNA", at positions 338 to 795 of the family's 1533-position model. The record is from RNAcentral.